Molecule: ribosomal RNA, 375 nt
Filed under: uncultured Planctomycetota bacterium
Lineage: Bacteria; Pseudomonadati; Planctomycetota
Description: bacterial SSU rRNA
Rfam family: Bacterial small subunit ribosomal RNA
Source: RNAcentral
UAAUACAGAGGGUGCAAACGUUGUUCGGAAUUACUGGGCAUAAAGCGCGCGUAGGCGGCCAAGUAAGUGUGAAGUGAAAUCCCACGGCUCACCCGUGGAACUGCUUUGCAUACUGCCUGGCUAGAGGAAGGUAGGGGAGAGCAGAACUCUUGGAGGAGCGGUGAAAUGCGUAGAUAUCAAGGGGAAUACCAGUGGCGAAGGCGGCUCUCUGGUCCUUUACUGACGCUGAGGUGCGAAAGCUAGGGUAGCGAACGGGAUUAGAUACCCCGGUAGUCCUAGCCGUAAACGAUGGAUACUAGCUAGAGGCCCACCUAAGGGUCUCUGGUGAAGCAAAUGUGUUAAGUAUCCCGCCUGGGGAGUAUGGUCGCAAGGCUA